GGGAGGGGGGGCUAGCGUUGUUCGGAAUGACUGGGCGUAAAGGGCGCGUAGGGCGGGUUUUUAUGUGAGGGCGUGAAAGCCCUGGGGCUUAACCCAGGAGGUGCGUUUCAUACUGGAAAACUUGAGUACGAGAGAGGAAAGUGGAAUUCCUAGUGUAGAGGUGAAAUUCGUAGAUAUUAGGAAGAACACCAGUGGCGAAGGCGACUUUCUGGCUCGUAACUGACGCUGAGGCGCGAAAGCGUGGGGAGCAAACAGGAUUAGAUACCCUGGUAGUCCACGCCGUAAACGAUGAGUGAUAGACGUUGGAGAGCAAUCUUCAGUGUCGCAGCUAACGCAUUAAGCACUCCGCCUGGGGAGUACGGUCGCAAGAUUA
This 373-nucleotide ribosomal RNA is filed under the name uncultured organism. Its description in RNAcentral is "partial 16S ribosomal RNA". It matches the Rfam family "Bacterial small subunit ribosomal RNA", at positions 524 to 896 of the family's 1533-position model. The record is from RNAcentral.